GGCAAGGUGGCCGAGUGGUUAAGGCGCUAGUUUUAGGCACUAGUGGGAAACCUCGCGGUAAGUUCCAAUUACAAUACCCUUUCCGGAAGACUGUAUCUAAUAAUCACCCAGAGUUCGAAUCUCGUCCUUGUCA
Molecule: non-coding RNA, 133 nt
Organism: Aspergillus carlsbadensis
Lineage: Eukaryota; Fungi; Ascomycota; Eurotiomycetes; Eurotiales; Aspergillaceae
Source: the annotation of a GenBank genome assembly